This 27-nucleotide non-coding RNA is filed under the name Homo sapiens (human). The record is from RNAcentral. Lineage: Eukaryota; Metazoa; Chordata; Mammalia; Primates; Hominidae.
UCCUGGUGUCCAGAAGAUGUGAGCUUA